Molecule: ribosomal RNA, 497 nt
Filed under: uncultured bacterium
Lineage: Bacteria
Description: partial 16S ribosomal RNA
Rfam family: Bacterial small subunit ribosomal RNA
Source: RNAcentral
GAUGAACGCUGGCGGCGUGCCUAAUACAUGCAAGUCGAGCGAACAGACGAGGAGCUUGCUCCUUUGACGUUAGCGGCGGACGGGUGAGUAACACGUAGGUAACCUACCUAUAAGACUGGGAUAACUUCGGGAAACCGGAGCUAAUACCGGAUAAUAUUUCGAACCGCAUGGUUCGAUAGUGAAAGACGGCUUUGCUAUCACUUAUAGAUGGACCUGCGCCGUAUUAGCUAGUUGGUAAGGUAACGGCUUACCAAGGCAACGAUACGUAGCCGACCUGAGAGGGUGAUCGGCCACACUGGAACUGAGACACGGUCCAGACUCCUACGGGAGGCAGCAGUAGGGAAUCUUCCGCAAUGGGCGAAAGCCUGACGGAGCAACGCCGCGUGAGUGAUGAAGGUCUUCGGAUCGUAAAACUCUGUUAUUAGGGAAGAACAAACGUGUAAGUAACUGUGCACGUCUUGACGGUACCUAAUCAGAAAGCCACGGCUAACUACGUG